UUGCGGUUAAAAAGCUCGUAGUUGGAUUUCUGUCGAGGGCGGGCGGUCCGCACUAUGUGCGUGUAUCUUGUUCGGUCUUGGCAUCCUCUUGGGGAAUGCUUCUGUGCUUGAUUGCAUGGGGUGGAAUUCAAGACUUUUACUUUGAGGAAAUUAGAGUGUUCACGGCAAGCUACCGCUUUGAAUACAUUAGCAUGGAAUAAUAAUAUAGGGCGUAAGUUCUAUUUUGUUGGUUUCUAGGACAUACGCAAUGAUUAAUAGGGACAAUUGGGGGCAUUCGUAUUAACGCGUCAGAGGUGGAAUUCUUAGAUUGCGUUACGACGAACUACUGCGAAAGCAUUUGCCAAAGAUGUUUUCAUUGAUCAAGAACGAAAGUAUGGGGAUCGAAGACGAUUAGAUACCGUCGUAGUCUAUACCAUAAACUAUGCCAAUUAGAGAUUGGGCGUCGUUCGUUUUAUGACUCGCUCAGCACCCCUUAUGAGAAAUCAAAAUU
Molecule: ribosomal RNA, 490 nt
Filed under: uncultured eukaryote
Lineage: Eukaryota
Description: SSU rRNA
Rfam family: Eukaryotic small subunit ribosomal RNA
Source: RNAcentral